RNAcentral lists this long non-coding RNA (2077 nucleotides) under Olea europaea subsp. europaea. Lineage: Eukaryota; Viridiplantae; Streptophyta; Magnoliopsida; Lamiales; Oleaceae. The record is from RNAcentral.
CCGAACCAUUAUUUAACUUUACAUAGAAGUCAAAAUUUCACAUUCAUUACAAAGAAAAUACUAUGAAGAAGAACAACAGCUAACAAUUGACAUGGAGCAGGAAGUUGUAUCAUUUUUCUCACCAUGUGGGUGUUGGAUGUCAAGGAAUCAGGUUAAUUCUAUAAUAAAAAAAUAAAAAUAAUAAAAAUAAAAGGUUAAUGCAAUGAUCAUUUACCGAUGGUCACCUCAAAGUCUUGGUUACCAUACUCCAGUUGUUCUUCUCGAAUUUGCUUUCAACAUUUUCGCCACAACGAUAUGCCUCAAUCUUCUAUAGUGUUGGAAUGUUGCUAAAUUCAGAAGGAAUCAUCUCCAAUUUUUCGCAAUCAAACAACAACAAUCUUUCAAGUACAGGGAAGUGAUCAUGUGGUGAAUUCCAUUGUUCAAGAUCUGACCAUUUUAAUUGAAGGAAUUUGAGUUUUUGGAACUCAUCCUCCUUUGUGUUCCAGAUUUGUCCUUCAAAGGCUUCAUCUAAUUUAAGAAUCUCCAGGUUUGGCAAUGUCCCAAUUAAUGACUUAUUUUUUGAAGGCAAAGCCAAUUUCGAAAGAGUAAGCUUUUUUAUAUUCGUGGGGAAGUUAAUCACCGAGUAAUCACCUUCGAAAUCACUUUUAAGAGCCAUUGUGAGUGAUUCAAGAUGAGUAAGAGAGCUGAGAUUUGGACAAAUAUUGUGUGGAGAUGUGCAUUUAAGCUUACGUAGAUUUGAUAAACUUCUUAAAUUUCUUCGCUUUUUGAAUCGUCAAUGUUCGAGUGAAUUCCCGCAAGCGUACGGGUUCGUUGACAAGUAAUAAUUGUGAUGAGUAAAGUAUUGUCCCACAGGGAAUAAGGAUUAAUUCUAGGGUAUUUGAUAAAUUUGAAUUCGUGUUUGUGACUAAAACUAUCGAAUGAAUAGUUAACGGAUUUUUAAAACUAGAAUUUGUAAAAGUAAUGGAGGUUGAUUUAAAACUCGAAUAUGCGAAUGUAUUGGAUUUCAGACGCCAUUGAGUAAUGCUUAGUUCUAAUUCUCAACUAGUGUUAAUUAUCUCAAUUUAUGCAAUUGCGACGAUCGAUAAUUCCACAAUUAUUUAUUAUUCUUUUCCAGAUAUAAUAAACCUAUGUUUACCACGAGACGAUCCUAUUCCUAGUUCGAAUUCAGAUGGCGAACAUGCAUUGAUAAUUAGGAUUAUCACUUAUGAUCGCACACGCCACAAAUGUUAUUCAUAAUAUUUAUUGCCCGUGUGUUCCAAUAAUAGUGUUCUACCUAUCGUGAAUUUUCCAACACAACGAAUGAGCAACUUAUUGUCCUAAUGGUGCACUAACAUUAGAACAAUCUAAUUAUGUAUAUUAAUGGAAUCACAGCGCAAUAAUUAACAUAAAAACAUAGGUCUCGAAUCAAAACUAAAAAUUAAACAAUUUUGUCAUCCAUCCAAUACAUGAGAAAAUUAGACUAGCAUAAUAUUGGAAUUAAACAAAGAAAAGUGGAAGGAAAUCACCAAAAAUCGACGGAACAUGAUUGAGUCCACGAAUUUGCUCGACUUUUGCACGUGUAUGUUGAUUUCCCCCAAGCAGCCGUUUUUCAAUAUAUCUUUGGCCCAAUUAUGUGUGUUGUUUCUAUAUAAAAAUCAGCAAGCUGCCGGUAAAUAUUCUCUGCAGUUUCCGUCGACAAUGUGGUUGUAAUCCCCGGUUGGCACUCAAAUCUUUCCUCCAGUAUGCUGUCAACUUGUGUGUGCAGUAUAUAUAAAAAAAUCAGCCCAAAUCCAUGCAAUUAUACAUAUAGGCAGCCUAUGUAUAUAUAUGAUAAAAGACCAGAAGCAUUUUUUUCUUUGGGCAGCAGCCAAUUUUAUUCCAAAGUUGCCAAGUUUAUUUCUUUCCAGCCGGCCAGUUGUGUAUCUUUUUAACUCCAGCAGCUGCCCACUGUUUUUGCAUAUAUUCUCACCAAGGUAGCCGAAUUGUCCCCAAUUAAUUCAACCUCAAGCAGCCUCCUUCUCUCCUUUUCAGCCACCAAUUUAGUUUAUCAAAAAUAAUAAAUUCAGCCCAAUGUUUGAACUCACAAGCAGCCGCCUAC